CUAUUUUGUGUAUCUUGUGCUCCAUAUCAAGAGGCGUCAUCCAUCCAUUAGCUGUUCCUGUUUUAUCUCAUAGAGGGCUGCAGGAGCUGGAGGACACCAGUCCAUCACAGAGCUACACAAAGAAAGACAACCAUUCAUGCUCACACUCACACAUUUAGAAUUGUAGAUUUACCUUCCAUGCAUGUUUGGAUUGCAGGAAGAAGUUGGAGCAUCUGCAGAGAACCCACCCAGGUCCAGAGAGAACAUGAACUCCACACAGACAGAACCAGCAGGACGAAGAAACAGUGAGAGGAACCCCAGGAUGAUCAAAAAUGGAAGAAUUAUGCCAAGAUGAGACGACAAAAAGCCCCAAACAGAAAAAGAAGAGUCAGACCAAAGAAAAGAAAGAAGAACGGCUUUGACUAAUUCCAAAGGCAAAUAUUGGCCUGUGAGAGGGACGUCGUUCCAUACGUCCCUCCUGAUGCCAAUGCUUUCCAGUUCUUCCUGGGGGAUCCUGAGGCAUUCACAGG
Long non-coding RNA from Amphiprion ocellaris (clown anemonefish), 509 nucleotides. The record is from Ensembl. NCBI's taxonomy places the organism in Eukaryota, Metazoa, Chordata, Actinopteri, Pomacentridae.